Molecule: ribosomal RNA, 464 nt
Filed under: uncultured bacterium
Lineage: Bacteria
Description: partial 16S ribosomal RNA
Rfam family: Bacterial small subunit ribosomal RNA
Source: RNAcentral
ACGAACGCUGGCGGCGUGCUUAACACAUGCAAGUCGUACGGUAAGGCCCUUUCGGGGGUACACGAGUGGCGACCGGGUGAGUAACACGUGAGUAACCUGCCCACAACUUUGGGAUAACGCUAGGAAACUGGUGCUAAUACUGGAUAUGUGCUCCUGCUGCAUGGUGGGGGUUGGAAAGCUCCGGCGGUUGUGGAUGGACUCGCGGCCUAUCAGCUUGUUGGUGGGGUAGUGGCCUACCAAGGCGGCGACGGGUAGCCGGCCUGAGAGGGUGACCGGCCACAUUGGGACUGAGAUACGGCCCAGACUCCUACGGGAGGCAGCAGUGGGGAAUAUUGCACAAUGGGCGCAAGCCUGAUGCAGCAACGCCGCGCGCGGGAGGACGGCCUUCGGGUUGUAAACCGCUUUCAGCAGGGACGAAGCUUUUUGUGACGGUACCUGCAGAAGAAGCACCGGCUAACUACGUG